UUACUAUUUAGGUCUCAAGAAGAGCCACUGACUUGUGUCAGUAACCAUGUAUUAUUGCCUAAUGACAUCCAGAAAUGAUUGUAUUCUUCAUUCAGGCAUCAGCUUGCCAAAGGAAAAUGGAAGGAAUGGAAUGGAAUAAGAAGAAAAUCAUCUCAUCUCUCACCCGAUGGGACUCAUAACCGUAGUCCACUAACAGGUAAAAAGAGAAUCUGAAGGGAGACCGGAGAAGGAGAAUGCCUUUCCUCGUAACGGGACUCAUUUACCUCAGGAUUACAUCAUCCCAUUCCACUCACCAUUAUGCUCUGGGCUGGUUUCGGGGCCAGGCCAACUUCACUUGGUAAGCUGCACUGAGCUUUCAGGUGGCAAUAAUUAAUGACCUUGGCCUUCAUCUUCAGGCAUUAUAACUCACUUUGGGUCACUUUUGCAACUCCUAAAGCAGUAAUUUUGCACCAUAAAACCAAAUUCCGAUCAAUAUGAAGCAUCUGAGGUGUGUUUAUUUAUAUAUGUAUUGCUUUUCAUCUGCAC
RNAcentral lists this long non-coding RNA (525 nucleotides) under Felis catus (domestic cat). Its description in RNAcentral is "lncRNA (ENSFCAG00000050057.1)". Lineage: Eukaryota; Metazoa; Chordata; Mammalia; Carnivora; Felidae. The record is from RNAcentral.